GACACUGAGGCUCGAAAGCGUGGGUAGCAAACAGGAUUAGAUACCCUGGUAGUCCGCGCCGUAAACGAUGUCUACUAGUCGUUGGGUCCCUUGAGGACUUAGUGACGCAGCUAACGCAAUAAGUAGACCGCCUGGGGAGUACGGCCGCAAGGUUAAAACUCAAAUGAAUUGACGGGGGCCCGCACAAGCGGUGGAGCAUGUGGUUUAAUUCGAUGCAACGCGAAGAACCUUACCUGGUCUUGACAUACACAGAAUCUUGUAGAGAUACGAGAGUGCCUUCGGGAAUUGUGAUACAGGUGCUGCAUGGCUGUCGUCAGCUCGUGUCGUGAGAUGUUGGGUUAAGUCCCGCAACGAGCGCAACCCUUGUCCUUAGUUACCAGCGGGUUAAGCCGGGAACUCUAAGGAUACUGCCAGUGACAAACUGGAGGAAGGCGGGGACGACGUCAAGUCAUCAUGGCCCUUACGACCAGGGCUACACACGUGCUACAAUGGUAGGUACAGAGGGCAGCUACACAGCGAUGUGAUGCGAAUCUCAAAAAGCCUAUCGUAGCCCAGAUUGGAGUCUGCAACUCGACUUCAUGAAGUAGGAAUCGCUAGUAAUCGCGGAUCAGAAUGCCGCGGUGAAUACGUUCCCGGGCCUUGUACACACCGCCCGUCACACCAUGGGAGUUGAUUGCACCAGAAGUGGUUAGCC
This 694-nucleotide ribosomal RNA is filed under the name uncultured bacterium. Its description in RNAcentral is "bacterial SSU rRNA". It matches the Rfam family "Bacterial small subunit ribosomal RNA", at positions 742 to 1435 of the family's 1533-position model. The record is from RNAcentral.